UACGUAGGGUGCGAGCGUUAAUCGGAAUUACUGGGCGUAAAGGGUGCGCAGGCGGCUUCGCAAGUCAGACGUGAAAACCCCGAGCUUAACUUGGGAAUUGCGUUUGAAACUACGGAGCUGGAGUGUGGCAGAGGGAGGUGGAAUUCCACGUGUAGCGGUGAAAUGCGUAGAUAUGUGGAGGAACACCGAUGGCGAAGGCAGCCUCCUGGGCCAACACUGACGCUCAUGCACGAAAGCGUGGGGAGCAAACAGG
RNAcentral lists this ribosomal RNA (253 nucleotides) under uncultured bacterium. RNAcentral's name for it is "partial 16S ribosomal RNA". It matches the Rfam family "Bacterial small subunit ribosomal RNA", at positions 524 to 776 of the family's 1533-position model. The record is from RNAcentral.